GCCAAAGGCAGAGUGGUGGAACGUCUGAUUGCUUGUCACCUGGGAGGACCCACUAGCUUAAUAGAAGAAGAGAAGAGAAUUUUAUUGGCCAAGUGCGAUUGGACACACAAGGAAUUUGUCUUGGUGCAUAUGCUCUCAGUGUACAUAAAAGAAAAGAUACCUUCAUCAAGGUGGCAUUUACCUCCGGCGAGAUUGGCCAAGAUGUUUCCAAACAACUCACCGAAUUGCUGGAAAUGUAACCACCAACAAGGGACAUACUACCACAUGUGAUGGACAUGUCUCAAAGCAAGAGAUUAUUGGUUAAAAAUUAAAAAUUGGUUAGAGGAAAUGACAGGAGGGAAAAUUGAUAUGAAACCUGAAUUAUUUUUUGGGGGGGGGAUUAUAAAAGAAAAAAAAUGAAUAAAGAAAUUCAAUACCUCAUACUUCACAUAAUUACGGCCGCCAGAAUGUCAUUUGCCCAAAACUGGAAACAAAAAUAUGCUCCAUCAAACACGAUGAUUAUAAAAAAGAUACUAGAGUGUGCAGAAUCAGAGAAGUUAACAAUGGAACUUAAAGAUAGAGAGGAAACGAUUUAUUAUGAAACAUGGAAUAGAUGGUACAAUUGGCUGGAAAAGAAAUCUGAAAUGAAUGUAUAAUGUAUAGUAUAAGAGAAGAUAUUAUAGUGAAAUGAAAUAUUUAAAGUAUAGUAGAUAUGUAUAGAGGACGCUUGGCUCAGGGGCUAGGAUGUUGAGCUUGUCGAUCGGAAGGUUGGCAGCUCAGCGGUUCGAAUCCCUAGUGCUGCCGUGUAACGGGGUGAGCUCCCAUUACUUGUCCCAGCUUCUGCCAACCUAGCAGUUUCGAAAGCACGUAAAAAAUGCAAGUAGAAAAAAUAGGGACCACCUUUGGUGGGAAGGUAACAGCGUACAGUGCGCCUUUGGCGUUGAGUCAUGCCGGCCACAUGACCAUGGAGACAUCUUCGGACAGCGCUGGCUCUUUGGCUUUGAAACGGAGAUGAGCACCGCCCCCUAGAGUCGGCAACGACUAGCACGUAUGUGCGAGGGGAACCUUUACCUUUACCUUUACCUUAGAUAUGUAUAUAAUGUAGUGAUUAUAUGAAUGAAUAAGUAACAAACAAAAUGUAUAUGUAUAUGAAUUGGUUGAAAGUUAAAAUGGAUAUUACUAAA
This is a long non-coding RNA of Ahaetulla prasina, 1163 nucleotides long. RefSeq lists it as uncharacterized. The transcript has 3 exons. NCBI's taxonomy places the organism in Eukaryota, Metazoa, Chordata, Lepidosauria, Squamata, Colubridae. The record is from RefSeq and is a predicted model, not a curated record.